GCUGGGUGUGGUGGUGCACGCCUGUAAUCCCAGCGGCUCAGGAGGCUGAGGCAGUUGGAUCAUGAGUUCGAGGGCAGCCUCAGCAACUUAGGCCCCAAGCAUCUCAGUGAGACCCUGUCUCUU
Molecule: small RNA, 123 nt
Filed under: Marmota monax (woodchuck)
Lineage: Eukaryota; Metazoa; Chordata; Mammalia; Rodentia; Sciuridae
Source: RNAcentral